Salvia miltiorrhiza (redroot sage) is the source of this 507-nucleotide long non-coding RNA. RefSeq lists it as uncharacterized. The transcript is spliced from 2 exons. The record is from RefSeq and is a predicted model, not a curated record. NCBI's taxonomy places the organism in Eukaryota, Viridiplantae, Streptophyta, Magnoliopsida, Lamiales, Lamiaceae.
UAAUCCUCUGAUUCUUCUCUUCCAUUUGAUUCUUGAACAAGCUCGAAGGUUAUUGAAAUACUUGAUUUGAUGACGCCAAUCCAAGGGACUUAAGUCGUGAUUUUGGAUUGAACGUUGAACUUGAUUUGAUUUGAGAAGAACGUCCUUAGAAUUUUGUAAGAACGCCUUGAAGCUUUCGAACUUGAUUUGAUUUGAUUUGAAGAACAUCGUUCUUGGAAUUUGUAAGAACGCCUUGAUCACUUGAAGAUUUGAAGGUUUGAUCACUUGAAGAUACUUGAAGAAUACUUGAAGAUUUGAAUGCUCAAAUACUUGAAGAUUCGAAGAAGACUUGAACGCUUGAAGAUUUCGAAGGAUACUUGAAGAUUUGAAUGCUCAAAUACUUGAAGAUUCGAAGAAGACUUGAACGCUAGAUAGAAUUCUUCAAGAUACUUGAAUACUUGGAAGAAUACUUGAACUCUCCAAUUCUUCGCCUCUUUCAACUUGCGAUACUAGAGAGAAUUCUUUAUA